UGAAAAGAGGCAGACCCAGGCUUCCGGAGCCAGUUUUAGGGCUCGUUAUAAUUUAAUGAUGCUGCACUGGGGAGUCUGGGGAGCAGAUAGACAAGCAUCUCUUUGGAAUAUCUUCAUCCCUGUGGACACAGUUACAUAGCUGAGCUGUCCAAGAUCCUUCUGCCGCUGCUUCUCUGUGCUGAGAUGACAGGCCCUGAGGCUCCCUGCUGACUAGCAGCCCAUCCUGACAGGCAAGAGCACCGGCCUCUCAGAUUCACAGUGUACCACCGGCUCCAGCGCAAUCCAGGUCACCAGGAGACACGAGCAAAACCACUGCCUCCUCACUAACCAUCCCCAGAUCUAUCCAAAUACAACCAUCCUUUCAAAAUUGAUCAUGUCCUCACCGGCUUAGAUGUGUUUGUAGCAGCAGUAACCGGGUGAUGAGUGACGGCCAAAGAUUCUGUUUGA
Mus caroli (Ryukyu mouse) is the source of this 447-nucleotide long non-coding RNA. RefSeq lists it as uncharacterized. Lineage: Eukaryota; Metazoa; Chordata; Mammalia; Rodentia; Muridae. The record is from RefSeq and is a predicted model, not a curated record.